GGCCGCCAGGGCGGCGUCGGGGAGCCCCGCGGCCUGCAGCGCCGCGACGAGGGCGCGGCGGACCGCCGCGCGCCGGUCGCCGCGGCGGAUCGCUUC
This 96-nucleotide transfer RNA is filed under the name Planctomycetes bacterium ADurb.Bin069. RNAcentral describes it as "tRNA-Cys". The record is from RNAcentral. Lineage: Bacteria; Pseudomonadati; Planctomycetota.